AAAGAGAAAAGAAUUUUGGUUUUUCUGCCUGGGAGUGAAUUGACGACAAACGUUUGACCCCUUUGUUUGCAGCGGAGGGGCUCUUUGCUGCUGCUGCUGCUGCUGCUGCUGUUGCUGCUGCUGCUCGGUGGUGCCGGAGCCCAUGGUUGCGGCUCUUGAGCAAGAAGCGGGGAGAACAGAGCAUUGGCGUUGACCAGCACGUUGCAUCCGAUGGAAGGAUCCGGCGGCUCCCCUGGGUUGGCUGGCGCUGACGGGGCCGCUCGCUGCUUCACUCCUCACCCUGACGAGGAAGCGGUGCAAGGAGGAGCAGGGAAAGCAGAGCCCUGCGUCACACAACGGUGUCCAAGGCCGGGGCUUUCGACGAGCCGGAGUUGCCGAAUUUUAUGUUACGGAUGGGUUGUUUGUUUUUUUUUUUUUUUUGGUUUGGCUUUUUAGUUUUCGAUUUCUUUUAAGUUUGAAGAGAGGAGGAGGAGGAAAAAAAAAAAAAAAAAAGCUCGAGCUCGCGUUGAAUCUUUUUGCACCGAGUUGGCCCCCCCCCCCAAAAAAAAAAAAGAGCGAUGCUGAGGCGUUAAGCGUGUUUAGAUGGCGUUAAUAAAGCCUGCCCCGCUCCUCCACCUCCAGGGGCCUUGCCGCAGCGUCGCGGUGCUGGGGACGACGAGUUGCCGAGAGCGAGAGUCGGUAAUUUAAAAAGCUUUUGCGUUGGUGUCAGUGCCUUAUUCCGCCCGGUUUCGGAACCCCGAUUCCACACGCCUCGGAUGUGCAUGCGGCCCUGCUCGCGUCCCGGGUACGGCCGCGCGUUCGCUCGCGGUCCGGCACGCCGUGCGCUGCGGAUGGCCAGAGCAGGAGGAGGAGGAGGAGGAGGAGGAGGAGGACGGAGGCGGCGCGCUGCUCCUGGGUGCUGCGGUUCCUGCCUUCCCCUGGCCGGGGGCUCCGCGUUGGCUUCAGGAGACGUCGGGGCGCAGUUGGACGACGACGGCUGAGAACCGAGUGGGAGCGGACCCGGCUGCGGUGUUGCCUUGGGAAGCCUCUCGUGUUGCGUUCCAGUUCACGCGACGUGCGGACGAAGACGCCUCGAGACGCGAGCUCGCCCUCGUUGCCUUGACGUCCUUGAACCUCCCGUGGAUAAGGAACCUGCUAGGCUGCAGGGGCCUCCCGGCAGAAGGACGCUGUUCCCGGGGCAAAGAGCGGUGUAAAUCCCCGAACCAGGUCCGUGCUGGCAGGCGCCUGGAUCCGAAGCCGAUCCUUUCCCGAGCAGGACAGCUUCACCCUGCGUGGGGACGUUGGUUUUUCUGCAGCUUCCACUUCUGGGCCAGCGGCUCCAAGAGGAAGGAGACGGGAGAGAGGAGAGCGCAGGCCCCGGCCAAGAGGAAGGAGCAGGCGUAAGUCUGCGUGUAGUCAUACAGCCACCCUGCAGGAGAGGAGAGCGUUAUUAAGGUGGGGGUUUAUUUCUCACCGAAAAUCACUUUGGGGAGGUGGGAGGGAGGCCAGGUAUUUUCUGCAGGUCACCUUCCCCCUUCGUGUGCCUGUGGCCGUGCAGCUGGACGACAGACAAACUGCAGGGGGUUCUUCUUGGGACCGACGUUGCCAGCCCCUUGGUGUGGAUGUGGAUUUUGAAUUGGAUUACACUGAAUCCCUGACAUUUCUUUUUUUUCCUGUUUAACUACGAGGGCCCCAAGGAGCUGCUGCAGCAGAUGUGAGGUCCUGCUGGAUGACGGGAUGCUUUGCACGUGUCGGGCUUUGCAACAUCUGCGCUGCGAUCUCCGCAUUCCCCCGGGCGUGCUGCCUUGUGAGCAGACCCAGCGCAGCAACCUGUCCGACAUGAGACAUCCCAGACGAGGGGCUGGGAGCAAGCUUGCUAAAUGGAAGCUUUGCCAGCACUUGAAAGGAAAUCCUAAAUUCCACAGAGACCUGGGAAUCUGCACUGGGGCAGGUCGCCUUUUAAAAUGAGCUCGAAGCGUUUAGUUUGGUUACAUCUCCUUUCCGGAGCUUCACCUUUAAAUGUGUUUAUCAUCUAGUGCCUGGGCCUUCCAUUUCGAUUCCCCUGCUUGAAUCUGAAAUAUGCAAAGCAAUAGGAGCUGCUGCUGCUUGUUAUGAAUCCUGCACUGUGUUCCCAAAUCUGGCACCUGGAUGUGUGGGGCAGGUUAGCAGCGCAGUGCCCAGCUGAGCCAGAGCUGCCGCUGGCAUAAAGCAGAAUUCCAUGUGUGAUAUCCAUGGAUUUACACCAUUUACUCCAUCAGGUUGGGAUCUGGAUAGGCCAGGAAACAACAGCACCAGAGCCUUGUUCCCAGUGUCACACAUGGGAUAGCAGGGAAGGAAUUGGUGCUGCUCAGCGUGAGGCUGGGUGACCAAAAGAGAUAGAUGCCAGUGCUUUCCUUGCUGGCAUUGCACGGCCACAGAGGGCUUUGGGAGAAGGGAAAGCCUUGCACGCUGCCUUGCUGCAUCCCUGUGUGCUCACCAGCUUUCAGUUAUCCCGUGCCUUUGGCAGCUCUCAGCUCUGUUGUUUUUCCUUUUUCUCAGGGAUGUUGCUUGAGCCCAGGAGUGCCUUGCCAGAGGGCAGAGCCCAGGGAAGCACAGCACGGCGCUGGGUGAGGGGAUUUGCUCCCAUUGCCACCACCCCUGCUGUGCAGGACGGGUCGUCCUCAGAGGUGGGGUCAGCUUCUGCUGCUUGAGGAUCUAUGGGACGUGGACCAGAGAUGCUGACGCUGUCGUCUGUAAGAUGUGGACACCCAGAGCAGAGUGCUCCAGCUGUGAUAAGCUCUGAAUCCUAUUACUUUUAACAUCUUCGUGGUAUUUCUAAACACAGGGUUUUUCUGGUUGUUUUUUGUUGUUGUUGUUGUUGUAUACAGAAGCUGUGCUUAGUGCUGAAGGCCCCAUGUCCCCUCCUGGCUGGCAGUGCCAUGCAGGUGAUGCUCUGAGUGCCUCUCCCUGAGCAACAGGGGCCAAAUCCUGCAGCAGGGAGCUGAGCGAGCUGAGCAUGCAGCAGAGCAGUGGUUUUGCAAGCUGCUCAGGUUGCUGAAAUUGCACAGCUGCUCUGUGAGGGGCCUGGCACAGCAAUGCCUAGCACAAAGGCAGGCACACUGGAGAUGAGAGCAUUUAAGUCCAUGUGCCAGCGCUGCUUUCAAAUGACUCCUUCCUCUCCCCCUUUUACCGCCCACGUUUGUUGGAGCUGGAGCUGUUGCUGCGUGCUGGCUGCAGGAGUCGGUUUUGUAAUCUUGAAUGCCAUCGUUUGUUUGGUGUUUAUUUUUAUAUAGAUAGAUUUUUUUUCCUUUUUGCAGUUUGUGGCCGAUUUCUCCCGCUGACGGAAAUAGGACGUACCCUCUCCUCGGCUCACUCGCCGCUUGCCAAAAUGAUGUUUGUUCUGCUGCUGGGGGGGGGGGGGGGGCAGGAGCAGCCAGCAGCCCUGCAGCCGUGAGGAGCCUCAGCCAGGCUGCUGAAGGGCUUCCAGUGAAACAGAUUUGCACGGUAAGUCACCUCGUUGCCUUGCGAUUAGGCUUUGCUCUGCUGUGCGCGGGAAGCAUUUAUCACCCGGGUCUCCCUCGUGUCGUGGGUUGUGAAGCUGUAGGAGCUUCACAAAAAGGGGGGAGCUCAGCAGCAGUCGGAUGCACCGAACCCCCAAGGUGUUGGGUAGCACUUCAGUCCUGCCGUGUGUUCUGCAAGGAGCGGCUGCUUUGGGAAGAAGCAGGGAGUGAAUCGGGAGUUUGCCAUCCCAUUCCGUUCUCGUGUUUCACACGGCAGUGUUGGAAGGGGAACAGUGCAGAAGAAAGCAUAGGAAAACUACAGAAAAUGGCAAAUGACGGUGUGCCACAAAGCCGGAUCCUGCCCUGGGACUCAUUUCCCUCUCGCCCUGCUUGCAGUGAGGUGGAUCAGCGUGAUGUUUCCUUCUGGGCUUUGCUGGGCCUCUCUUUAUCCCAUCCGGACGAUGCAGGCUGAUUUCUGGGCAAGGCUUUUCGCAGGGAAGCUGCUUGCUUCGUGAAACCCAGACGCCUUCUUGUUAGCGUCAUCAGAAAGCUAGAGGGCUCCCAAUUAGCGAGAAUUGAUUGGAAGCAGAGGGAAGCGUUAGCAUGCAUGAUGCACGGCUGAAGGAGAGCCAGCUUAUUUAGCUCUUUUCACACCGUAUGUUAUCCUGUUGGAAAAUUUACUGCGAUGCUUUUGCAGCUAUUGCUUUCUGCUGGACUCACAUCUUGUAUCAGCAGAAGAGAUCUUCUCCAGCACGGGCUAUGGAUCACUGUGACAGUGUAAAGCACGCUGUCAGUGAAACGCUUUAGCUGCUCGACAUUGCAUCCAUAUCCAGAGUUUGGCCAACCUGGGGAUAUCGAUUAGGGGAAUCCAUCUUUCUCAUGAGGCAGGGCUGCUGGAACUUUGUGAUAGCACUGCCACGCUGCAGAGCACCUGCAUGGGGCCUCUGUUCUGGUUCAGUGUUAACAACGCCCUGGUCGUGGUCAAACCCAAUGGUCGUGAGGAAAAGCCAUCCCUGGAUGGUGGGAGAGCGAUCCAGAAGAAGGUUUUACUGCUGGAUGCCGGUGGUGGGUAUGUGAGGUGUGUGAGGUUUGCAUUACCUGCUAGAGGAGGUCCUCCAACAGCUGCUAUCCCAGCAAAGAAGGAAGCGAAGCCCAAGUAGCUGUGGAGUUUUGGCACACCGACGAGGUCCACCUGUUGGUGUAAAAGCAAAGGGGUAAUUGUCAGGAAGGCUCGUGGGAAGCACGGGAGCCUCUUCCUGUGGCUUUUCCAGGUUCAUCUGCGGCUGCCGUGGGGUUUGGGGAGGACGCUGCACCUCCAGGUCUGACUCAGCCUGGAAUCCGCUCGCCUCCCUAAGGCCAGUGCUGAAAUUACAGCAUCCCAAGUGCACUUCUGUCUUCCCACCCUUUGGGCCCAUCCUGCAGCCCACGGUGCAGUGAGGGUGCGUCGGCUCUGAGCAGUUCCUUCCUGGGAGGACACGCCAAGGCGUGAUGAUGGUUCCCUACCCAGAUCCCAUUGUCCCCGUGCUGUGGGUAUUACUGACAAUCCAGGGGCUGGGACCCCGCUGACAGCCCCUUGGCUUUGCAUUAGGGCUGGUCAGUGCACAGGAUCCAUUCUGCUUCCUGUGAGCUUUUAGAAAGGAGGAUGUGGAAAGCAAUUCAGGAAGCCCCCAGUGCUCCUGGUGCAUCCCAGUCACCGGGCUGGGCAGACUGGGGCCCUGCUGUGGGGCUAUGGGGGCAGACCCCUCUCAUUCCAGACCGCAAGAGCCCACCGGCGCCCUUCAGCUUUACAAAAAGAUCAUUAGGUAUUUUGGAAUGCUGUCAGAAACGCCACGUCGUUCUGUUUUCUUCCACGUAUCUAU
Numida meleagris (helmeted guineafowl) is the source of this 5317-nucleotide long non-coding RNA. RefSeq lists it as uncharacterized. Lineage: Eukaryota; Metazoa; Chordata; Aves; Galliformes; Numididae. The record is from RefSeq and is a predicted model, not a curated record. The transcript is spliced from 3 exons.